AUUCCUUUAGUAUUAAUUAGUACGGCUGACUUCCAAUCAGCCAGUCUCGGAAAUACCCGAGGAGGAAUA
RNAcentral lists this transfer RNA (69 nucleotides) under Scaptonyx fusicauda. RNAcentral's name for it is "tRNA-Gly". The record is from RNAcentral. Lineage: Eukaryota; Metazoa; Chordata; Mammalia; Eulipotyphla; Talpidae.